RNAcentral lists this ribosomal RNA (350 nucleotides) under uncultured bacterium. Its description in RNAcentral is "bacterial SSU rRNA". It matches the Rfam family "Bacterial small subunit ribosomal RNA", at positions 21 to 342 of the family's 1533-position model. The record is from RNAcentral.
UGCUCAGGAUGAACGCUGCCGGCGUGCCUAAUACAUGCAAGUCGAACGAGUUCUCGUUGAUGAUCGGUGCUUGCACCGAGAUUCAACAUGGAACGAGUGGCGGACGGGUGAGUAACACGUGGGUAACCUGCCCUUAAGUGGGGGAUAACAUUUGGAAACAGAUGCUAAUACCGCAUAGAUCCAAGAACCGCAUGGUUCUUGGCUGAAAGAUGGCGUAAGCUAUCGCUUUUGGAUGGACCCGCGGCGUAUUAGCUAGUUGGUGAGGUAAUGGCUCACCAAGGCGAUGAUACGUAGCCGAACUGAGAGGUUGAUCGGCCACAUUGGGACUGAGACACGGCCCAAACUCCUAC